RNAcentral lists this unclassified non-coding RNA (395 nucleotides) under soil metagenome. RNAcentral's name for it is "partial contains 5.8S ribosomal RNA, internal transcribed spacer 2, and large subunit ribosomal RNA". The stretch from base 1 to 120 matches the Rfam family "5.8S ribosomal RNA", at positions 35 to 154 of the family's 154-position model. The record is from RNAcentral.
GAUGAAGAACGUAGUGAAAUGCGAUAAGUAAUGUGAAUUGCAGAAUUCAGUGAAUCAUCGAAUCUUUGAACGCACCUUGCGCCUUUUGGUAUUCCGAAAGGCACACCUGUUUGAGCGUCAUGAAUACCUCAAUCUCCAUCUUUUCUUCGGAUUGAUGGGUGACUUGGAUGUUGAGCCCUGCUGGUAUGCUAUAUCAGCUGGCUUUAAACUUAUUAGCCGGCUCUGUACUGGAUCGGUUUGACUCGACGUGAUAAUAUUAUCGUUGAGGAUGCAUGUCUCAUGCAGCCGGAAAGUAUCAAAGCAGCUUCUAGCUUGCCUUUAGUGCACUUUUACAUUUUAGACCUCAGAUAAGGUGGGACUACCCGCUGAACUUAAGCAUAUCAAUAAGCGGAGGA